GAUGAACGCUGGCGGCGUGCCUAAUACAUGCGAGUCGAGCGAACAGAUGAGGAGCUUGCUCCUCUGACGUUAGCGGCGGACGGGUGAGUAACACGUGGAUAACCUACCUAUAAGACUGGGAUAACUUCGGGAAACCGGAGCUAAUACCGGAUAAUAUAUUGAACCGCAUGGUUCAAUAGUGAAAGACGGUUUUGCUGUCACUUAUAGAUGGAUCCGCGCCGCAUUAGCUAGUUGGUAAGGUAACGGCUUACCAAGGCAACGAUGCGUAGCCGACCUGAGAGGGUGAUCGGCCACACUGGAACUGAGACACGGUCCAGACUCCUACGGGAGGCAGCAGUAGGGAAUCUUCCGCAAUGGGCGAAAGCCUGACGGAGCAACGCCGCGUGAGUGAUGAAGGUCUUCGGAUCGUAAAACCCUGUUAUUAGGGAAGAACAAAUGUGUAAGUAACUAUGCACGUCUUGACGGUACCUAAUCAGAAAGCCACGGCUAACUACGUG
RNAcentral lists this ribosomal RNA (497 nucleotides) under uncultured bacterium. RNAcentral describes it as "partial 16S ribosomal RNA". It matches the Rfam family "Bacterial small subunit ribosomal RNA", at positions 28 to 507 of the family's 1533-position model. The record is from RNAcentral.